CAACUACUCCCUCUGUCCCAAAUUUCUUGUCUUAGAUUUGUCUAGAUAUGGAUGUAUCUAAUACUAAAAUGUGACUUGAUACAUCCGUAUCUAGACAAAUCUAAGACAAGAAUUUUGGGAUGGAGGUAGUACUUU
This is a non-coding RNA of Triticum aestivum (bread wheat), 135 nucleotides long. The record is from Rfam. Lineage: Eukaryota; Viridiplantae; Streptophyta; Magnoliopsida; Poales; Poaceae.